CCGGCAAUUAGGCUCAGAGCACUCUGAUUGGUGGGUUUAAGCUAUCCAAUCAGAGUGCUCUGACAGGUAAGUCUCUACAUUUACCUGUCACAGCACUCUGAUUGGUUGGCUUGAAAUCCACCAAUCAGAGUGCUCUGUGUCAUUUUACACAGCGUGGGAAAGUUCUUUGGAAUUUUCCCACACUGUGUAAUUUGACUCAUAACUCUCUGAUUUGUGGAUUAAGUAACCAAUCAGAGUGUUAUGAGUCAUCUAUCUGAGGUAGAGACAUCUAUAGAUUAGUGGGAUUUAGGAGUUCGUGGGAUCUGUAUGAAAGAGAAAAGAUAAUCUAAUAGUGCAAUAAAACCCAAAUAUGUAACAGCCGAUAAAAAGGUCUAUAUGGUCAUACUCACAUUUUUGAGAGCUAAAAACUAGCUCUGGUAUAAACAGCGUACAGUAGUAUACUCCCCACUUAUGGGAUACAUGAGGGAGUGUUGUAAGUAGAUAUCUCGUCAGAUGGGGACCAUAUGUAACAUAAAAAACAACAAUAGUGCUCACUGUGAUAAAACCAGGAGAGUGUAUAAAAAUACCAAAUGGUUACUCACAUUUAAUUGGGCGGACACACUGCUCAAUGAUAGGGCAUAAGUGGUAUAAUUCCCACCAAGGAUGCUUUGGAGUAGUAUGUCUCAGGAACAAGUAGGAACAAGUAGAUGCCAGGUAGUAAAAUGAUAAAAAGGGUAAAAAAGAUAAAUGGUGCCAAAAUUACAUCAUGGUCAUGGCAUAACUUUAGUAUAAAACUUGUGUCAGCCAUAUUAG
This is a non-coding RNA of Pelobates cultripes (western spadefoot toad), 792 nucleotides long. The record is from the annotation of a GenBank genome assembly. NCBI's taxonomy places the organism in Eukaryota, Metazoa, Chordata, Amphibia, Anura, Pelobatidae.